Molecule: ribosomal RNA, 253 nt
Filed under: uncultured microorganism
Description: partial 16S ribosomal RNA
Rfam family: Bacterial small subunit ribosomal RNA
Source: RNAcentral
UACGGAGGGUGCAAGCGUUAAUCGGAUUUACUGGGCGUAAAGCGUGCGCAGGCGGCCCGUUAAGACAGGUGUGAAAUCCCUGGGCUCAACCUAGGAAUUGCGCUUGUGACUGGCGGGCUCGAGUACGGUAGAGGGGGGUGGAAUUCCUGGUGUAGCAGUGAAAUGCGUAGAGAUCAGGAGGAACACCGAUGGCGAAGGCGGCCUCCUGGGCCUGCACUGACGCUGAGGCGCGAAAGCGUGGGGAGCAAACAGG